UCCCUGGUGGCUCAGAUGGUAAAGAAUCUGCCUGCAAUGUAGGAGACCCAGGUUCAAUCCCUGGGUUGGGAG
This 72-nucleotide transfer RNA is filed under the name Ovis aries (sheep). It matches the Rfam family "tRNA". From Rfam's summary of the family: Transfer RNA (tRNA) molecules are approximately 80 nucleotides in length. Their secondary structure includes four short double-helical elements and three loops (D, anti-codon, and T loops). Lineage: Eukaryota; Metazoa; Chordata; Mammalia; Artiodactyla; Bovidae. The record is from Rfam by way of RNAcentral.